UUCCGGUUGAUCCUGCCGGACCUGACUGCUAUCGGAUUGAUACUAAGCCAUGCGAGUCUUUGCAGUAAUGCAAGGCAUACGGCUCAGUAACACGUAGUCAACUUACCCUAUGGACGAGGAUAAUCUCGGGAAACUGAGCAUAAUACUCGAUAGAUCAUAAUGCCUGGAAUGGUUUAUGGUUGAAAUGAUUCGUCGCCAUAGGAUGGGACUGCGGCCUAUCAGCUUGUUGGUGAGGUAAUGGCCCACCAAGGCGAUUACAGGUACGGGCUCUGAGAGGAGAAGCCCGGAGAUGGGUACUGAGACAAGGACCCAGGCCCUAUGGGGCGCAGCAGGCGAGAAAACUUUGCAAUGUGCGAAAGCACGACAAGGUUAAUCCGAGUGAUUUCUGCUAAAGAAAUCUUUUGCAAGUCAUAAAACCACUAGUGAAUAAGGGGUGGGCAAGUUCUGGUGUCAGCCGCCGCGGUAAAACCAGCACCUCAAGUGGUCAGGAGGAUUAUUGGGCCUAAAGCAUCCGUAGCCGGCUUUGUAAGUUUUCGGUUAAAUCCAUGUGCUCAACGCAUGGGCUGCCGAAAAUACUGCAUAGCUAGGGAGUGGGAGAGGUAGACGGUACUCGGUAGGAAGGGGUAAAAUCCUUUGAUCUAUCGAUGACCACCUGUGGCGAAGGCGGUCUACCAGAACACGUUCGACGGUGAGGGAUGAAAGCUGGGGGAGCAAACCGGAUUAGAUACCCGGGUAGUCCCAGCUGUAAACGAUGCAGACUCGAUGAUGCAUUGGCAUAUAGCCAGUGCAGUGUCGCAGGGAAGCCGUUAAGUCUGCCGCCUGGGAAGUACGUACGCAAGUAUGAAACUUAAAGGAAUUGGCGGGGGAGCACCACAAGGGGUGAAGCCUGCGGUUCAAUUGGAGUCAACGCCGG
This 913-nucleotide ribosomal RNA is filed under the name uncultured marine archaeon. Its description in RNAcentral is "bacterial SSU rRNA". It matches the Rfam family "Archaeal small subunit ribosomal RNA", at positions 1 to 921 of the family's 1478-position model. The record is from RNAcentral.